GGUUCUAUUAUGUGGCUCAGAUUGAACGCUGGCGGGUCGCUUUACACAUGCAAGUCGAACGGCAGCACGGACUUCGGUCUGGUGGCGAGUGGCGAACGGGUGAGUAAUGUAUCGGAACGUGCCUAGUAGCGGGGGAUAAUUGCUGCGAGUGUAGCUAAUACGCAUACGCCCUUCGGGGGAAAGCGGGGACCUUCGGGCCUCGCACUAUUAGAGCGGCCGAUAUCGGAUUAGCUAGUUGCGGGGUAACGGGGCUCACCAAGGCGACGAUCCGUAGCCGGUUUGAGAGGGACGACCAGCCACACUGGGACUGAGACACGGCCCAGACUCCUACGGGAGGCAGCAGUGGGGAAUUUUGGACAAUGGGGGAAACCCUGAUCCAGCCAUCCUGCGUGCGAUGAAGGCCUUCGGGUUGUAAAAGCACUUUAAUAGAAAGAAACGGUAAUGGAGUAACACUUCGUGCAACUGACGGUGGCCUCGCAGAAUAAGCACCGGCUAACGCUAAACAGCAGCCGCGGUAAUACGUAGGCAGCGUUAAUCGGAAUUACUGGGCGCAGGCGUGCAGGCGGUUCUGGAAAGAAAGAUGUGAAAUCCUAGAGCUUAACUUUGGAACUGUAUUUUUAACUACCAGAGCGAGUGUGUCGGAGGGAGGUGGAAUUCCGCGUGUAGCAGUGAAAUGCAGAUAUGCGGAGGAACACCGAUGGCGAAGGUACUUCCCGGGAUAACACUGACGCUCAUGCACGAAAGCGUGGGGAGCAAACAGGAUUAGAUACUCCCGGUAGUCCACGCCCCUAACGAUGUCAAUCGAAGCUGCGGGGCUUUGGCCUUGGUAGCAGCUAACGCGUGAAGUUGACCGCCUGGGGAGUACGGUCGCAAGAUUAAAACUCAAAGGAAUUGACGGGGACCCGCACAAGCGGUGGAUGAUGUGGAUUAAUUCGAUGCAACGCGAAAAACCUUACCUACCCUUGACAUGUCUGGAAUCCCGAAGAGAUUUGGGAGUGCUCGCAAGAGAACCGGAACACAGGUGCUGCAUGGCUGUCGUCAGCUCGUGUCGUGAGAUGUUGGGUUAAGUCCCGCAACGAGCGCAACCCUUGUCAUUAGUUGCUACGAAAGUGCACCACCCCAUCGAGACUGCCGGUGACAAACCGGAGGGAAGGUGGGGAUGACGUCAAGUCCUCAUGGCCCUUAUGGGUAGGGCUUCACACGUCAUACAAUGGUCGGGACAGAGGGUCGCCAACCCGCGAGGGGGAGCCAAUCCCAGAAACCCGAUCGUAGUCCGAUCGCAGUCUGCAACCCGACUGCGUGAAGUCGGAAUCGCUAGUAAUCGCGGAUCAGUAUGUCGCGGUGAAUACGUUCCCGGGUCUUGUACACACCGCCCGUCACACUAUGGGAGUGGGUUUUACCAGAAGUAGAAGGCCUAACUGUAAGGAGGGCGAUUACCACGGUAGGAGGAGUGAUCGGUGAAGUCGUAACAAGGUAG
RNAcentral lists this ribosomal RNA (1477 nucleotides) under uncultured Bordetella sp. RNAcentral describes it as "partial 16S-23S ribosomal RNA intergenic spacer". It matches the Rfam family "Bacterial small subunit ribosomal RNA". Lineage: Bacteria; Pseudomonadati; Pseudomonadota; Betaproteobacteria; Burkholderiales; Alcaligenaceae. The record is from RNAcentral.